Molecule: ribosomal RNA, 454 nt
Filed under: Granulicatella elegans
Lineage: Bacteria; Bacillati; Bacillota; Bacilli; Lactobacillales; Carnobacteriaceae
Description: bacterial SSU rRNA
Rfam family: Bacterial small subunit ribosomal RNA
Source: RNAcentral
GACGAACGCUGGCGGCGUGCCUAAUACAUGCAAGUCGAACGAGAGCGACCGGUGCUUGCACUGGUCAAUCUAGUGGCGAACGGGUGAGUAACACGUGGGUAACCUGCCCAUCAGAGGGGGAUAACAUUCGGAAACGGAUGCUAAAACCGCAUAGGUUCUUUAGUCGCAUGACUGAAGAAGGAAAAGAGGCUUCGGCUUCUGCUGAUGGAUGGACCCGCGGUGCAUUAGCUAGUUGGUGAGGUAACGGCUCACCAAGGCCGUGAUGCAUAGCCGACCUGAGAGGGUGAUCGGCCACAUUGGGACUGAGACACGGCCCAAACUCCUACGGGAGGCAGCAGUAGGGAAUCUUCCGCAAUGGACGCAAGUCUGACGGAGCAACGCCGCGUGAGUGAAGAAGGAUUUCGGUUCGUAAAACUCUGUUGUUAGAGAAGAACAGCGCAUAGAGUAACUGUUA